CCUACGGGAGGCAGCAGUGGGGAAUAUUGCACAAUGGAGGGAAGUCUGAUGCAGCGACGCCGCGUGAGUGAAGAAGGAAUUCGGUUUGUAAAGCUCUAUUAGCAGGGAAGAAAGUGACGGCACUUGAACAAGAAGCUCCGGCCAAAUACGUGCCAGCAGCCGCGGUAAUACGCAAGGAGCAAGCGUUAUCCGGAUUUACUGGGGGUAAAGGGAGAGUAGGUGGCAGAGCAAGUCGGAAGUGAAAACCCAAGGCUCAACCAUUGGAAUGCUUUAGAAACUGCUCAGCUGGAGUGCAGGAGAGGCAAGUGGAAUUCUUAGUGUAGCGGUGAAAUGCGUAGAUAUUAGGAGGAACACCAGUGGCGAAGGCGGCUUGCUGGACUGUAACUGACACUGAGGCUCGAAAGCGUGGGGAUCAAACAGGAUUAGAUACCCGUGUAGUC
Molecule: ribosomal RNA, 440 nt
Filed under: uncultured bacterium
Lineage: Bacteria
Description: partial 16S ribosomal RNA
Rfam family: Bacterial small subunit ribosomal RNA
Source: RNAcentral